RNAcentral lists this ribosomal RNA (268 nucleotides) under uncultured bacterium. Its description in RNAcentral is "partial 16S ribosomal RNA". It matches the Rfam family "Bacterial small subunit ribosomal RNA", at positions 793 to 1055 of the family's 1533-position model. The record is from RNAcentral.
GUCCUAGCCGUAAACGAUGUAGACCAGGUGUGGGGAGGUAUCGACCCCUUCCGUGCCGACGCUAACGCAUUAAGUCUACCGCCUGGGGAGUACGGCCGCAAGGUUAAAACUCAAAGGAAUUGACGGGGGCCCGCACAAGCGGUGGAUCAUGUGGUUUAAUUCGACGCUACGCGAAGAACCUUACCUGGGCUCGAACGACUAGUGGUAGUCCUUAUGAAAGUAGGGGCGACCCGCAAGGGAGCUAGCCGAGGUGCUGCAUGGCUGUCGU